UGGGGAAUUUUGGACAAUGGACGCAAGUCUGAUCCAGCCAUGCCGCGUGCGGGAAGAAGGCCUUCGGGUUGUAAACCGCUUUUGUCAGAGAAGAAACGAGUUUCUCUAAUACAGAGACUUAAUGACGGUACCUGAAGAAUAAGCACCGGCUAACUACGUGCCAGCAGCCGCGGUAAUACGUAGGGUGCGAGCGUUAAUCGGAAUUACUGGGCGUAAAGCGUGCGCAGGCGGUUAUAUAAGACAGAUGUGAAAUCCCCGGGCUCAACCUGGGACCUGCAUUUGUGACUGCAUAGCUAGAGUACGGUAGAGGGGGAUGGAAUUCCGCGUGUAGCAGUGAAAUGCGUAGAUAUGCGGAGGAACACCGAUGGCGAAGGCAAUCCCCUGGACCUGUACUGACGCUCAUGCACGAAAGCGUGGGGAGCAAACA
This 427-nucleotide ribosomal RNA is filed under the name uncultured bacterium. RNAcentral describes it as "bacterial SSU rRNA". It matches the Rfam family "Bacterial small subunit ribosomal RNA", at positions 355 to 774 of the family's 1533-position model. The record is from RNAcentral.